UAAAGGUAUAUUGAUGGUAGAAAUUUGUAAACAUCGCUGCUACAAACAUAGGAAUAUCCAUAUAUAUUCAUAAGAUGCAUUAAUAUUUUUAGUUUGCAAAUCAUACCAACUAAAGCCUCGAAGUCUCACUGAGGAAACCGGCGCAGAAGUUGGUCCCUCUAGCUCAGUGAAGCCUCGGAGCCCCUCGACGAAUGUGACCUCCGUGUUCAAGGUUCUAGUCUCCCCAUUCGUGUGCCGGCUGCUGUGUAACUCGUGACCCCCUCCCAGACGACAGGCUGAGUCCGGGUUGAGCUGAGGCCAAGCAGAUUAGAGAUUCCUUGUGGACGAUCCAAGUGGCCGCGGUAAAGAACAGAUCAUUGCCGCCACACACCAAGCCGUGACGACUGAUUCAGCACCACCAAGGAUCUAGACUCCUCCCGCACCAGCAAGCACCGGAAGAAUGGUGAGAUGUUGAAGGGAGAGUGCCUGGAGGAGCCAAGCAGACCAGCCACGGCCUCCCUCCAUCAGCCGUGUGCCUUCCAGAGCCACUCCAGCAGCUUCCGUCCCAUGAGAGGCCUUUACUAGCAACAGCAACAGCUCCAACGGACGCAUUGUCUCGCAUUGUGUGCACAGGAGGUCUCCGUGCUGCCUGCUGGAGGGCUUCAACAACUGAUGGAGGACAGGGGCUACACCUUCUUGGAGAGUUGCUACUACACCCAUCCAGAGUCCACCGAGCAUCACAACUGAAAGAAACAAGAGUGGUCCAACUUCUUUGACACCAUGAAGAACUUUAACACUAAACUUAUAAAUGAAAGACCACGAAGGCAGGCGCUUCCCUUCACCGUGAGCCGUGCAUGAAAGUCAAACACAGGAGGAAUCCAAUUUGAAGCUGUUUCUAUACUUGAGUUAUGUAAGAGGUGCAUGUGACGUGUCAGGAUGGGUGAGUAUUGGAGCAAGAGUAGGAAGUAGCAUGAUUGAGUGUGCUGAGAGGGAGACGCUUCUGCCACAGCCACCCCCUGGAGGGAAGUUCCCACGUAAGGCGUAAGGCCUGCAUAUGUAUAUUGAAUUGCUUUAAUUAGACCCAAGAACUAUUUUCAUCGACCUGUCCAACCCCGUAAGGGAAAAUACGGGCGUUCACCAAAGAAGAGACAUCCAAGACCUAUAAUACUAAUGAUAUAAAAUAUACUUAUGAUCUUUUAGUUAUACGAGAGUUCUUGGCAGGGUCUGCAAGUAACCUAGCAAUACUGUACACAGUAUAUCUAGAGCCUUAGCAUCACAAACACUUCAGAAAUUUUGAUGUAGAAUAAAUCAAUGUUUUUCUAUUGGUGAUUGCAAGCUGAAGUUGGACCACUCUGGCUUGAACCAUGAAGAUAUAAUUUUUACUGCCCUUUUGUCCCCUGUGAUAUGUAUUGGAAAUUUGUUGCAAUAAAUGAGCAGACAAUA
Molecule: long non-coding RNA, 1422 nt
Organism: Eriocheir sinensis (Chinese mitten crab)
Lineage: Eukaryota; Metazoa; Arthropoda; Malacostraca; Decapoda; Varunidae
Exons: 4
Source: RefSeq, a predicted model, not a curated record